AUGCUGGCGCAGUCGCUCGCCAGCCGGCCGGCACACAUGCCAGCACACACAAAAUGGUGGGACUUGGAGUUCUACCACGCCAUUGCGGCUUCCGUGGUCAUGCCGGCACACCUGCCGGCAUACAAAAAGAUGGCCCUCGACGCCAUAGAUCAGUCGUCCUGGAACUUGAGCAUGUCGGCCUGCAUCUUCUCGAACCACGGCCCCUUCCUUGGCGACAAGGCGUUGAGAUCCACCUUCAUGAUCUCCCCCCCGUCAUCAUGCUUGCAAGAGCCACUUCUUUCGCCUUUGUCUUGGCGUUGGAUGCCUCGAUCUCUAGCAUCUUGGCUUGCUUCUCGGCCUCGAGCUCGAACAUCUUGGCUUGCUUCUCGGCGUCAAGCUCAAGCCUCAUCCUUUGGAUCUCCAUGA
This 405-nucleotide ribosomal RNA is filed under the name Triticum aestivum (bread wheat). RNAcentral describes it as "partial small subunit ribosomal RNA". Lineage: Eukaryota; Viridiplantae; Streptophyta; Magnoliopsida; Poales; Poaceae. The record is from RNAcentral.